AAAGCCGUAGAUAUCCUCUUCCUGCUACACAUAGUAUUAGCCUACGUAAGGUCAUUACGGCGCCGUUUCCCUUUUUAAUUGGCGUAGUUCAACUCAUCAUCCACCCAAGUUCAUUUCGUUCAAAGCUAUAAAUAACCCCUCAAACCAUUCAACUUUCCCACCACCACUCCUCACUCCUUCAACUCAUUAACCUCUCUCUCUCUCUCUCCUUCAACUCAUUAACCUCUCUCUCUCUCUCUCUCUCUCUCAUUUUCAUCCGCAAAUGGCGAACCGUAGAAGCCUCUUUUCUCUCUCACUUAUCUUUGUGUUCAUGAUCAACUCAGCCAUAGCCACUCCAGUCACAUACAAUGUGGCCAGUUUAGGAGCCAAAGCAGAUGGCAAGACUGACUCCACAAAAGCCUUCCUCUUUGCAUGGGCUAAAGCUUGUGCCUCGAUGAAUCCCGGUGUCAUUUAUGUGCCGGCAGGAACGUUCUUUCUUCGCGAUGUGGUGUUCAGUGGGCCUUGCAAGAACAAUGCCAUCACCUUCCGCAUUGCCGGAACCCUUGUGGCCCCGUCGGAUUACCGGGUCAUCGGUAAUGCAGCUAACUGGAUUUUCUUUCACCAUGUAAACGGGGUUACCAUAUCAGGUGGAAUUCUUGACGGCCAAGGCACGGCCUUGUGGGCUUGCAAGGCCUCUCAUGGCGAGAGUUGUCCCAGCGGAGCAACGGUAAUUAAUUCACUACUUUAAAUAUCAUAUUCAUGACACCAUUAAAUAUCAAAUUCAUGACACCAUUAUUUUGUGCUUCAUUAUUAGUGAGAAUUUUAAAGGUCAACGUACGUACAAUUUGCUUUAUUAUUUGCUACCAAUUGAAUUGAGGGUUUAUAAAAUAAGUUUAAACUCUACAGAACGUAAUCAAAUGGACAUGAUAAAUUGUACCACAAGCUUAGCUUGAUCAAGUAAUUUCGUGUAUAUAUGUGCAGACUUUGGGUUUUUCCGACUCAAACAACAUCGUGGUGAGUGGAUUGGCAUCCCUAAACAGCCAAAUGUUCCACAUAGUCAUCAACGACUGCCAAAAUGUGCAAAUGCAAGGUGUCAGGGUUUCUGCUUCCGGGAACAGCCCUAACACCGAUGGCAUUCAUGUCCAAAUGUCAUCUGGUGUCACAAUCCUCAACUCCAAGAUUGCAACCGGUGACGAUUGUGUCUCAAUUGGCCCCGGAACCUCAAAUUUGUGGAUAGAAGGCGUUGCUUGUGGACCUGGCCAUGGAAUUAGGUACGACAUCAAAAUUAUAUAUUUAUCCAUGAUUGAUCAAACUAGCUAAAUGCAUACUAUUUCAUAAUAUAUGUUAUAAUGUAUAUCUUUUUUCUUCGUUGCUUAAUGACAUUUGAACUUAGGACAUCUUUCAAUAAAGUGGAGAUUAAUUGGUUGCUAGUAGAGAUUCAUUGCCUACAAAAAGUAUAUCUUUCUUUUGGGUGGAUGUUCUAGUUGUAAAUUUAACAUUGCUUUAUUUGAUGGUUCAGCAUUGGAAGUCUAGGCAAGGAGCAAGAAGAGGCCGGUGUACAAAAUGUAACAGUUAAAACGGUUACCUUUACUGGUACUCAGAAUGGUCUAAGAAUCAAGUCAUGGGGGAGGCCAAGCACUGGGUUUGCUAGAAAUAUUCUUUUCCAACAUGCUACAAUGGUCAAUGUCGAAAAUCCUAUUGUCAUAGAUCAACAUUAUUGCCCCGACAACAAAGGGUGCCCUGGUCAGGUAAGAUAUCAUUCUUGCUCUAACGGUCAAUUCCCAGAGUUUAAUAUUACAACUAAAUUUUCUCUUCUUCACUUUCAUAGUGUAACGUUUUUGAUAAAAACGUUGGCAUCGCCAAAUUAUAACUGUCUAAUUUCGAAACAUAUCAAAAGCUUUCUUGGGCUUCCACCUAGAAGAGCCAAUAAUUUUAGACCCAAAGCAAAUCCAAUAACUCCUUCUUCCAUGGGCUUGCUCUCCUACUACUUACAAAGGUCGAGCCUUGCCCAUUGUAACCUUUGUAACUUAUUAAUUUCAUUGUAUGUGCAAUGAGAUUGAGGGUUGUAGCUUAAGUGGUUAACAAUAUUUACUCAUGUAUUCGAAGUUCUAGAUUUAAUUCCCCUCUUUUCCAAUACCAUUUUUAUCAAAAUGACUUCAUCGUAGCUUAGCCAAAAAAGCAUUAAACUUCCCAUUAAGCCGAAUUACCAUGCUAUAAUGCUUGUUCACCUUCUGUUUUAUCAAAAGCUGGAAAUCUGACUUCCUAUUGUUUUUUUUCUUUUGUCAAUUUUGUUUUUCGAUAGGUUUCCGGAGUUCAAAUUAGCGAUGUGACAUACGAAGACAUACACGGUACAUCAGCAACAGAAGUUGCAGUAAAAUUUGAUUGCAGUCCCAAGCACCCUUGCAGCGAGAUCAAAUUGGAGGAUGUGAAGCUUACUUACAAGAACCAAGCAGCUGAGUCUUCAUGUAGCCAUGCAGAUGGAACAACUGAGGGUGUGGUUCAGCCUACAAGUUGUUUGUAGAGUGGAAAAAUAUGAACUGCUUGUAGAAGUAUUGAAAUCCAAAAGUUUGCCCUCCAGUACUAAGGACAAAUGAAAAGUGAAUUAUACGAUUUAUAUAGGAAGAAUGAGCUUGUGUUGUUGGCAGCCUACUUGGGCUUCCCUUGAGCCUGGCCGUUCAAUUAGUUUAGUUUGUUCAAACUCGUCCACUUCGAUGGGUGUUUAUGUUAUGAAUUGUUGUAAGAUUAUGUUCGGGAUACGUUAAAUUUAUAAGAUUAAAUUUUAUGUUGAUGGCUAAUGUGGCAUUUGACAUAGGAUUCAAUAUUCUAUCAAUUUAAUUCACAAUUUUAUUAUAAUCGAAGCACACAUUAAAUAGUAAAAAUUUGGUUCAAGAAACAAAAGGAUUUGAAGUCUCGCAUGAACUUUUUGGUUGGAGCAUUUUCUCAUGUCAAAUUUUACCCGUUAAAAAUUUAUUAUGAUAUUUUAACAUUUCGGUUGGAGUAUUUUUUUCAUGUCAAAUUUGACCCGUUAAAAAUUUACUAUGGUAUUUUAGCAUUUCGGUUGGAGAUGUAUAAAUCUUAAAAAUGCAUUCAAGAUGCAUUUUUGUUUCUUAAGCUUUGAGCUUUAGGUAAUUAACUUUAAAUGUUGUUGGGCACCUUGCACUAGUUGAUUAAAGAAAAAUAGACCCGAAGCAAGAUUCCUUGUAGUUGCCAAUUCGAAGUUUUCUUUAUCGCUACAUACUUACUGGUCUACAAGUUCUCUCUCUAAUACAUAAUUUGACAUAAAUAAAUACAGUGAAGAGUGCAUUGACUAAACAGAAAAAAAAACAAAAAAAGCAGCACGUAAGCAAUUACGUGCAUUUGGUGUAAAAGCUAAAGGCCUCUGAUUUAUGUAAGCAGUUACGGUAAUCAUAUUAUAUUAUAUGUAUCUUAGUUCUGCAAUUGUAACAGGAAUAAUAUUGUUUUGUUAUCCCCAAUCAAUAAUACAAUGAUACGUGAAAAAGUUAUUUAACAUGUCAUUGCGUUAUUAGCUGGGGAUAGCAAACAGUGCUAUCCCCAUUACAUGAAAGUCUUUCUCCUGCAUAUCCUAUUAUACUAUUAUAAAACUCAAUUGGUCAAUCAUAGUGAAAAAAAUAUAGUGAAAGAAAAAAGAAGAAGAAGAAAAUAUCAAUUAAGCCCCUCUUAUAUUGAACACUUCAAUAAUAAAAUAAAAAUUGCAUAUGGAGUAAAGUCAGUCAGUUAAGAUAGUAUGCUAGUUCUUUUGCACCUGAGUUCAAUUUCCUUCCCCGAACAUUUUCAAAUAAAUAAUAAUAAAAUAAAAUGUGAAUUUGAUAGUCAAUGUCGUAGUAAAAUAUGGUUUUUUAGUAUCAAUAUUAAGGAAAGCCAUUGUUCUUUCUAGCAGAAUGCCCGCCACUGCUAGAGAGAGAGAGAGAGAGAGAGCGGAAUGGCAGAAGUGAGUAACAAGCAGGUGAUACCGAGGGAGUAUGUCACUGGCUUUCCCAAAGAGUCAGACUUGUACGUGAAUAGCACUGCUACUAUCAAGUUGAAGCUUUCUGAGGCCCCCGAGCAUGAGGGUUCUUCAAAGAAACUAGUUCUAGUGAAGAAUCUUUACUUGUCCUGCGAUCCCUACCAACGACUAUUUAUGGAAAGAAUCGAAGGCCUCAGCAGCCAAUCCACUUCCUCCUAUACGCCUGGUUCUGUAAGCAAAACCCAUCAUAUAUCUUUUCCUUUCAAUUUCUGUAAACAUAUAUACCAAAUGUUAUGCUCAAAUAUAUAUUAAUUGUUAAACAUUGUUCCCUUAAAAAAAACAAUUUAUUGCAAAAUUGGAAUAUACAAGAGGUAACUCUGCACAAAUAUUAAUGACAAGAUGAGGUGGCUAAAAGCACUGUUAAUGUCUAUCAGCGCGCAAUGAGCACGAAUAACUGUGAUUAUUAAGUAGUAGGAGCUGAUAGUUGUUUUUGUUACCACAUCCUAUGCCACAAAUAUUAAUUAUUACCAAUUAUUCUUCUAGUAAUGCUUGUUUUUUUGUUGAUGGCAACAUUGGGAGGAGGGAAUCAAAUACAAGUUUGAUCAUAUGAUUAAUUUAAUUUUGUUGGUGUAAACGUGCAGCCAAUAUACGGGUAUGGAGUGGCUAAAGUUUUGGACUCUGGGCACCCAGAUUUGAAGGCAGGUGACUUAGUUUGGGGGACUACCUAUUGGGAAGAGUACAGCCGAAUCCCUGAACCCGAAGGCCUGAUCAAAAUCCAGCACACUGAUGUACCUCUAUCCUAUUAUACUGGAAUUCUUGGUAACAAGUCAAACCUAUUUUAGAUCAUGAUGAUAUGUGUUGGUUUAGAUACGUAAGUGUAUUUUUUGUAAUUUCAUUUCAGGUAUGCCUGGUUUGACCGCUUAUGUUGGUUUCUAUGAAAUUUGUUCUCCUAAGAAAGGAGAACAUGUCUUCAUUUCAGCAGCAGCUGGUGCUGUUGGUCAGCUUGUUGGACAAUUUGCAAAAUUAAUGGGUUGUUAUGUUGUUGGAAGUGCUGGCAGUAAGGAAAAGGUACGAACUUGAGAAAUCUUUGAACUUCAAAUUAAUAUUAUCUACACCAUUUUUUCUUGUUUGGGUUGUAUUUUGCUGUUGUUAUUUGGGCCAACUUUGGUGUUGGUUUGGUUUGGGGCCUCUGUUUGUGCGCUGGGACUACAAUGAGUGGAAAGUUAUAAGGGGUAAGUUAUAAGGGGUUCACUUUAUAGCCAUCAGAUCAAUCCAAGGGCUGGGGAGAAUUGAGAUAAAGUUUCACAAUUGGGUAGGUGAGGAACCCAAACCCGAAUUGAAUAUCCAGCACGUCCAAAAAGAAGAAGAAGAGGGAAACACGUUCGAAAAAGAAGAAGAAGAGGCAAGUUCGAAGUUUGAACAGAAAGAACUCAUCUCUCUAAAACCCAGAGGUCUGAGAUACCCAAUGAAGGCAACGGCUAACGACAGUUGAAGGCAACGAUUCGCCACUCCGUUCUCCAGACCCUGAAAAAGUAUUUAUUUGGAGUAGAAGGGGCAAAGGUGUGGAUUCCAAAUCAAUGAAGGGGCGAAGCAGUGGAAGGGGAAGGGGAGAAGCUAUAAUCGUUGGAAGUGGUAGGUUCCAUUUGUGGAGCAAAGAAACAGAAAGACCCCACACAGACACCUUGCAAUAACCAGCAUUUGGUGAGUAAUUUAUGGAAUUUGAGUUUAGGGUUAGAGUAAUGGUUUUCCUCAAUUUGUAGCAUAAAUUUUGUUGGAUUUGGCAUCUCUUCGUUGUGCUUGAGUUGCAUGUUAAUUUUUGCUUAGGUAUAUGUUAAAAAAAGAAUGAAAAUCAAGUCAAUAACAAGUGAAUAACAUGUCAAUAAUGAUAUGAAUAAGAUAAUGGUGUUGAAUUGGAGGAGGCCCUCAAAACCUUCCACAUUUGAAGCAGUGCAUAGUGCAGAUUAAGAAGAGGCGGUAGAAUAUAUAUAUAUAUAUAUAUAUAUAUAUUUUAUGAAGUAAAUAUGAUUUCCUUUGUUACUAAAUUUGCCUGAGAAACAUUUGAACAGAUAAUAAUAAACUCAUGAAUAGAAGUGCAAAGCAUUUGAUGAGUAAUUUAAGGAAUUUGAGUUUAGGGUUAGAGUAAUGGUUUUCCCCAAUUUGUACCAUCAAUGUUGUUGGAUUUGGCAUCUCUUAUUUGUGCUUCAAUUGCAUGUUAAUUUUUGCUUGGGUAUAUGUUAAAAAACGAAUGAAAAUAGAGUCAAUCACAUGUCAAUAACAUCUCAAUAACAUGUCAAUAACAUGUUAGUAAUGAUAUGAAUAAGAUAAUGGUGUUAAAUUGGAGGAGGCGCUCAAAACCUUCCACAUUUGAAGCAGUGCAGAGUGAAGAGUACCUCUCUGGCCCUAGAAUUUAUAUAUUUUGUGAAAUAAAUAUGAUUUCAUUUGUUACUAAAUUUGCCUAUGAGAAAUGAGAACAGAUAAUAAUAAACUCAUGAAUAAAAGUGCAAAGCAUUUGAAAUGAAGGUUGAUCUAUGACGAUUGUGGGUGACUGAAGAAAAAGCUAGAAAGAAAGAAGGAUGUGGCAAUUGCUUAGCAAGCAGAUAGCAGAGUAGAUGCUUUGCUUUGCUUCCUUCCACUAUAUUUCUUAUUUAUUUAUUUUGUGUUGUGUAUGAGAUGACAAUAAUUGUCAUGUGUGUGAAGUGCAGAACUUGCCUACAUUGCACUCACACGAGUAUGGAUCCAUAAAUAAAACACGUGAAAUUGUUUGUAAUUCACAUAAUCAUUGCAUUAACAGGUAUUUGCACAAAAUUUGUCAUAUUGCUUUGAUGAUGUUAAAGCCUAUGAUCAGUAAUCCGUAUGCUCAUGUACUUUGUAAAAUUUGUAAUGUGCCUGGUUGACUAGUUGUGAUUGUGCAAAUACGUGGCAGUAUAUGUGUUCACGUUAUUUCACAUUGUAUUUGAGGAAAUGGGAUCCAACGUGGAGCUGGUAUGGCCAGAGGCAGAGGCAUAUUCGUCACGGGUGAACAACUGCUCACAUGCAAAUUCAUCUCUAGCUGCAAUUCGAGCGAAGUUGAGUGCGGAACAAUUAGAACAAUUCAAGACAUCAUGCUUUGGCCAUCUUCUGAAUAUAGAUAAGAUUCAGUUUAGCGGGCAGAUUGUGCAUGGGGCUGUGUUGCGUAGAGUAGCGGGGCAGGGUGUGAAAGACUUGGAUGGACUGAGUUUCUUAUUAGGGUGUGACGUUGCUCAGUUCACUCGUCAGGAUUUCUGUUUGAUCACAGGGCUUCGUUUUGGGGAAGUGCCUGAAGUUUCCAGUGGAGAGAGUGAUGUAAUCAGACUUCAGAAAAGAUAUUUUAUAGACGAAGGAAUUACAUGCAAUGCUUUAGAAGAAGCAUUUAUGGGGUGCACAGAGGAAGAUGACAUCUACAAGCUAGCUCUUGUUUACUUUGCUGAGUUAGUGGUUUUGGGAAGGGACAAACAUUUGAACAUCAAUCUAAAUUACCUGACCCUUGUAGAGGACUUGGAUGCGUUCAACAGGUAUCCGUGGGGUUCGGUGUCCUUUGACAAAACCCAAGACAGUCUAUUUUCUGCACCAACAAAGUAUGUGAAAAGCUUGCAAAAUGAAGAGGGAAGAGGGAAGGGGAAAAGUAAGGUAACGGGAACAAGCCGGAGAAAUGAGAAGGGCAGGAAGGAUAAGCAUGGUGAAGCGCAAAGGAGUGGCUGGAGUUUUAAAGGUUUCACGUAUGCUUUCCAGGUACAUGGUAAUAAUGUUCAUGUGAGUUAUGUUUUGUUUUUCUUUAAAACAUAAAUAAUGACUUUUGUCCUGUGAAUUGUGUAGAUUUGGGUAUAUGAAUUAAUUCCUAGAAUGGCGGACCUGAAUUACUGCAAGGUUGUUGAUCCGACCGCUGUCCCGCGUAUUUUGCGAUGGAGAACUACUACGUCUGUUCCAGAGAUGAGAAAGUUGAACAAUUAUUUUUUCCAGAGCAAAGAGGUUUGGUUUGCAGCCCUUGGAACUAUUGAUAAGAUUGAAUGAAAUUUUGAAGUAGAAUGAUUUAAUAUGACUGUGGUUUGUAUUCUGAAACAGUCAGUUCAGUUGCGGGCGCUAUGUCCGAGUGAAGAGGAAAUGAGACAGCCAUAUUGGAGUUGGCCACAGGAUCGCCCUGAUGAGACAGCCAUAUUGGAGUUGGCCACAGGAUCGCCCUGCUGUUGUCUCGGCAGAGUCAAUUCCUUCUUUAUGUGGUGAUCUUGAUCAGUUGAACAAGGUGGUAAGCUUGUUGAGGUCCGAGUUGUUUCAAGUAAAGCGGGAAAAAGACGUCCUUCACUUAAAGGUCAUACGGAUGGAAAAACUGUUGGACCAAUGUUUAGGUCCUCAGUUUGAGCAGGAAGUAAGGAGGGACCUAGCUUUACUGAAACAGAGGACGAAGCGUUGUGUCGUCUCACAUCUAUUUAGGGGAUAUCGGGAAUUGGAUGACAUUCAAUGGGAUGAAGGGCCAAGUAACAGAAAUGAGGGAGAGGAAAAGGAAGAUGAAGGGAUUGAAGGGGGUGAAGGGCCAAGUAAUAGAAAUGAGGGAGAGGAAAAGGAAGAGGAGGGGAUUGAAGGAGAGGAAAAGGAAGAGGAGGGGAUUGAAGGGGGUGAAGUGCAAGGAAUACCAAGUGAGGUAGAGGAAGGGCAAAGGAAAAGAAGUGAAGGAGAGCAAGUGCAAGUAAAAAGUAGCAAAGGAGAGGAAGCCCAAAGACAGAGCAGUGAGGGAGAGGAAGUGAAAAGAAAAAGCAGUAAGGGAGAGAAACUGCAAAGGAAAAAAAGGGAGGGCAAGGAAGUGAAAACACAAAGAAGUGAGGAAAAGGAAGUGCAAAGAAACCAAUGUGAGAAAGAAGAUAAUGAAGUUAUGUUGCUUGGGGAUGACAUUGGCGAGAGCACGGAGGGGACACUGCUUGAGUUUACUGUCGGGGACAUUGAUUUGGAUCAACCUACAGCUGUGCUAUCUCAGUUGAACGUGUGGUUGAAUGAUAAAGGUAAAGCUGUGGCACAAGGGGUCCAAUUACGGAAAAGGAAGAGGAUCAUUCCUAUGUGGAAGAUCAUUGAAGGCAUUGAAUUGGUUCCAAAAACUGGGGCACAGACAACCGGACUGAAGAUGUUAGACCCAAUGAAGGCGAUUCCGCAUGAUGAUCUGGUGAAUUUGCUGAAACUUUGUUGGGAAUGGCGCCAGGACCCAAAGUAAGUCCCUUGCAAUUAUAAGAUAGAAGCACGACUGUAUAUAAUUUUUAAUAUACAGUGUUCUAAAACUGUUUUAUAUUCAUAGUUUAGUGAUGCAAUUUGGCAACGUGGAAGCUGAGAUUGAAUUCUUCGCUUCCCUCGUGAAAGCUGAUGGUUGGCUGAAAGGAGAUGUAAGUGUAAUUGAUUAUGCAUUUGUUUUAAUGUAUAUAGAUUAUGAGAUUGACAAGAACAACAUGUUGCAGCACAUUGAGUUGGGGUUGUAUCUCAUCCGGAAGCGACAACAACAGUUUGAGGAAGUAGAAAUAGCGGACUGGACAACGACAGAUGUUUUUUUUAUGGUAUGUCAUCGGCCUUGACCAAGUGCCGUUAAUAAUUACACAUUUUCCAUACAGACAAUAGUGGAGGUGUUUAACCAUUGAUUGUUUUGUAUUUCACAGAAUCACAUUCGAACUUGCUUUGCGGAUAAUAAAAGAAAAAAACAGCAGCUUGGGUGGAAAAUCAGAAAAAGUUUACUAAACGUUGUAAAUGGGAAGGUUCCUCCGUGUGGGAUGGAUUGGCAGAACGUCUAUACGGUGUAUACCCCAGUUAUGUUGACGAAGUACAAGCAUUGGGUGGCUGUAAUGAUUGAUCUGGUAUUGUGUGAAAUCAAAGUGUACGAUUCAAAGGUUUCACUAAUUCCAGAUGACAUCGUAAAGGAAGAACUCGCCCCGCUAUCAAUUAUGCUUCCAAAUCUUCUCAACACCAUCGACUUUUAUGAAGAAGGUGUUUAUGCAAACAAUUGCAUGCGAGAUUGGUGGUGUCCGUGGCCAAUAGAGCGUGUGGAUGUUCCACAACAGUCUAAUGAGUAAGCACAACUUGCAAUUUAAUUUUAUUACUUUCAAUUGUCAAUUACGUUAGAAUGUCAUUAGUUGAAUUGAUCGAGUUCUUGUUUUGCUUCAGAGGCGAUUGUGGCAUGUUUGUGUUAAAGUACAUUGAGCUUAUCAGCGCUCAGCUUUCGUUAGCUAUUUGCACCUCGCACAACAUGCCUUUUUUUCGGUUGAAAUUGGCUGCGGAGAUAACAAGGGGAGAUGCUUACUUCCCAUGAUAUUGGUUGAAGAUGACAAAUGGUACAUGAGAAGGUUUUGGGAAUGUCCAUUCUCAAACUAAUGUAAAUACACAAUAGAGACGUACGUGUCCUUUUCGAAUUCUACCGCUAACUCCUUCAUGACAUUUACAUGUUUGUUAACCAAACUGCAUUGAAUUGGAAUUUUAAGACUGCAUAUGUUAAUUGGGAUUUGAAGAUGGCUUUUUAAGUGUAUUACACCAUUGCAAAGUGAUAUGUCAUUGUUGAUGCAAGCCACCAUUAUUCGCAAUGAGUUGCAUCAUAAUAGGUGUGUAAACAUGCGAAAGGUUUUCGGCAGCUCAGUAGCAUAAAAGUAGAAACAAUUACAAUAUACACAAAAUGAACAACAAUUCACUUGCGUUUGGACAAGCAAUACAGACACAACAGACAAACAAUAUACACAAAAUUGGCCUGCCAUAUACAGACAUACACACAGUAGACAUGCAAUAUACACACAGUAGACAUGCAAUAUACACACAAUAGACAUGCAAUAUACACACAAUACACAUGCAAUAUACACACAAUACUCCCUUAACACACACAAUAGACAUGCCCUUGCCCACAAUAAUGAUGCAAUAUACUUCAGUCCCCAAGUACACCAACCAUAAGGAAGUCGUAUUGAAUAGGAUAUUAAACUUAACAGUUGUUCUUCCUACUAAAAGAAAGAAUAACGUCCGUUUCCCCCCUUCAUUCUUACUUCAGUGAUACUUGUGGCCCCAAUAAACAUCCAAUAUUGGGUCAAGGAUAUUCCAUAUACAUGCAGCAAACUAUCAAUAAACCUUCAAUAAACAUUCAAUAUCGGUUCUAUAACAUGCGAAAUACAUGCAGUUAACAAAUAUUACAAAAUGGGUUUAGGGUCUCAUUGGUGGUGCGUGCAACAUGUCUUGUGCGGAAGAACUUUCACAAUCUUUGAAACCAUGCAGUUAAAUGAUCCUUAAAAGAACAAAUAAAAUGACAAUUGAUACAACUAAUAAAACUAAUACCAAGUCCUUAAUGGACUUCAGCAUGUUCAGCACUCUAGCAUCAUACGUGUCAUCUUGAUGUUCUGCUUCAGCGGAGGUUACAUCAACCCAUUCGAAUCCAUUGCAACUGGUGGCUCCCUAAUUGCAGGCAUCAUAUAUGGAAUAUAAUUCUGUUAGAGUUAGACAUGGGUUUAUUUUGACCCACAUACAUAUUAUUGAAAUUAAAACUUACAUAGGAGGUUAGACACUUCCAGAAUGGCUUCCCUCGAUUUUUGUCAGAUUUUGAAACCCGAAGCACCAUUGUAGCUCCACAAUACUGACACCUCUUUGUUUGAGCAGGAGAUGAAGACGAAGACAUGUUGAAUCUUCUCAGUUGUACCUCUUCUCACUCAGAUCUUCUCACUGAAACCUCUUCGGACUCAUACCUUCUCACUCAUCGUUGUCAUUCAUACCCCUUCACUCAUAACCCUAAACUUGUCACUCAGCUCUCUCUCAUCUCUGCCCAAAUCGAGUUAUAUUUCUUUUUUUUGGGAUCAUUUGGUGGGUUGGUCACGAUCUCGACACCCGUACCGUCGGCAUUGCGACAUCUUUUAGCCCGAAAAGCAAUAUAAACUACUUCACUACCAAAUAUAUUUUCUGAAAAAUGAGGGGACACUGCUUCAAAUUUAUUAUUUUAUAUAUAUUUCAUUAAGGCAACUAGUUGGAUAAGAAUCCGUCAUUAUUGGUUCCAUUUGAAUAACAUUACUAGGGGUAGUUGGGUGUGGGAAAAUGAAAAAGUAUAUGAUGGGACCUUCUGUCACUACUCAGUAAUCCAUCACAUUUGUAUCAAUGAAUUUGAUAGUGGGAUAAUCCCACAAAUGGCUAUGCAAAUAGCCAUUUAAUGAACUUUUUGACUGUCUGACUCUGUAUGCACCGUUAUGACGUUUUCCCUUCUUUUGUCUUCAGUUUUAAUUCACUUGGGUUCAGUUUCUUUAAAAAUGGUCAACUUGGAAAAACCCCAACUGGAAACACCUUUUCAAAACACUAUAAACAGAGGCUAAAACAAAACGUGUACCCCAAAUAUUCUCAUUUAUCCCCUCUGCCACUCCUCAAAUCGUUCCAUUCCAAAAACUUUUCAAUGAAUUCGAAACACUUCACUACAGUCGGAGGAAAGAGAAGGAAGCAUCUCCAUUUCGAUAUGCCCGAAGCCUUCAUCCCGGAGUCCGCUUGGUUUCAAGUGAUGUUAUACGUGGCAACCGAAUCAUCGGAAGAUCUCUUCCGUAUGGCAUCUGUGUGCCCAUUGUUCCAAACUUUGGCAAACAGUCCACAAGUGUGGAACACCAUUUCAAUGGCAAAGUACCCACACCAUCCUAGCUGGUACCGUGCCAGACCUGCGGUCCAGCAUUUCUUGCAACAAUGCAGGGCUUGCGAUAACCCUGAGUCGAUAUUUAGAGAAGCAUUCGAUAUUUUUUUCAGGGCCAGUAAGGUGGAAGCGUUGUAUGGGAUGCGCAUUGCAGCCACGGCAGGCCAUAUGGAAGCGGCAUAUGUAGUUGGACUACUUGGUAUAUCCGGAAUUGGUCAGUCAAAAGAGGAUGCAUUACAAUUCUUGUGUUCUUUGAAUCAACGUAACAACAUUGAUAUGAAAGGAACCAGGGAUGCUUUGACACGAAGAUUAACCGGACCAAGAGUUGCAAGACAUAUCGUAGAUAUAUUUGACUAUGGGAAGAUUAAGUUCAAUCGCUGCAGCACUUGUAACAACAAUGAAUGGUAUUUUGUUAUUCAAGGCUGGCCUAGUGAAGACAAGAUAAAUCCUGCCUUCUAGACUUGUUGCAAUCGAUGCAAAUGGCACCGUGAGAGUAUUUUUUGGUUCAAACUGAUGCGUGAGUAUGUUGUGCGAGGGAAUCAUGUAUUUUUGCAUUAGUUUUAGUACGAAUUUACGGUUUUGAUGCAUUGUGGACUUACUUCUCUUCACUUCUAGGUUGGCUGGCUACGUUGUACAAAUGUUGUUUAAAUGUUGUUUAAAUGUUGGUAUUUUGUCAUAAACCGUUUUAUAUAUAAAUGUAUAAUAUUUAUUAUAUAGCGGAAUUAUUACUUACAUCAUAGACGGCUACGAAUGACAUUUUACUGACACAGAUAUUUUGCUCACCCACCCCAAUAUUCAUAUUUGGUAAACGAAAAGUCAUGCAUGGAGUAAAUAGGUGUCUUUUCACCAAUGCUUGGGAAUGACAUUUUCCCACUUAGCAUAUUCGACAGGAUUUGGUUACACGUUUCUUAAGCAAAAGUUGAACAGUGAAUGACGUUGAAUAAUUUGUUUGUGUGGAAGGAGUACAAUGGAUGACUUGUAUAUUUCCAUAUUAUGUUUGAAAACAUCCCUUCAACCUAAAAAAUAAAAAAAUUAACAAAUUGAAGAACAGAGAAACCGAUGAGCACUACAAAUGGCCUAUUCGCACGGAAAAUAAAAUUGUUUUAAACAAGUUGGACUAAAUAUAAUUAACAAAUGGACAGCCUAAAAAGUAAUAUCAUAAUAAUUAUAAUAAUUGUGGAUUAAUAAUAAUAAAAUACUAAUGUAGCAUAACCAUGAAACAGGGAAUUCAGUAGGAAGAUGAAAUCUCAAUAAGUUCGUUGAAAUGUUCGGAUCGUUUUUCUAAUUUUUGUGUAUUUAGUUCUGAAUUUUCCAAGAAAAAAAGUAAUUAAAUAAUAAUUUAGGGUAAAAUGGGAUGAUGUGGCCAUGUUGACUGACGUACACUUGUGCAAGUACUCAUAAGUGAGGGGCUGAGAUCGCGCCAGGUGUCUUCUUGGAAUUAGGGUUGGCUAUUUUAGUGGAAAAAUCCUUGAAAAUAGGUAAAAAAUAGUAGGAAAUUCCUAUUCUAGGUUGGGAAAAUUACCCGCGCCUCCUUGUGACGUCAUAAAACUAGGAGAACCUAUAAAUCAUCCGUCUCGCAAUGAAAUAAUCCAAAAUGUUUUACAUAACUCACUUCCCUCUUUACCCUAAGUAUUGAUGUUUGUUAACUUGAACUUCAAUAACCUACUUCAACAAGCAUCUCCCGUUAAUGUUGGGAAUAAUUGUCUAAAAUGCGUAACAAUGAAUCGGAGAAUUCAGCAAGGGAGAUGGAGUGUCAAUGAGUUCGUAGCAAUUUUCGGAAAUAAUUUUGAAUUUUUGUGUAUUUAGUUAUGAAUUUUGUAAGACAAAGUAAUAAAAUAAUAAUUUAGGGUAAAAUGGGAGGAUGUGGCCAUGUUGACUGACGUACACUUGUGCAAGUAGUCAAAAGUGCCGGGCUGAGAUCGCGCCAGGUGUCAUCUUCUUUUCAAUUUUGGAUUCUUUUGUUAAAAAAUCUUUGAAACUAAGUAAUAAAUAGUAGGAAAAUCCUAAAAAUGCCCCCAAAAUUACUCCGGCCUACUUGUGACGUCAUAAAACUAGGAGAACCUAUAAAUCAUUCGUCUCGCAAUGAAAUAAUCCAAAUUGUUUUACAUAACUCACUUUCCUCUUAACCCUAAGUAUUGAUGUUUGUUAACUUAAACUUGAAUAACCUACUUCAACAAGCAUCUCCCGUUGAUGUUCGGAAUUAUUUUUAAAAAUGCGUAACAAUGAAUCGGAGAAUUCAGCAAGGGAGAUGGAGUGUGAAUGAGUUCGUAGCAAUUUUCGGAUAAUUUUUUUAAUUUUUGUGUAAUUAGUUCUGAUUUUUGUAAGGAAAAGUAAUAAAAUAAUAAUUUAGGGUAAAAAGGGAGGAUGUGGCCAUAUUGACUGACGUACACUUGUGCAAGUAGUCAUAAGUGACGGGCUGAGAUCGCGCCAGGUGUCCUCUUGCUAUUAUUUUGGCUUUUUUAGUGCAACAAUCUGUGGACAUAGGUAAUAAAUUCUACGAAAAUCCAAAAAAUGCCCGGAAAAUGAGAAAAUGAAAAUUAUUUGUACAUAACUCACUUUCCUCUUAACCCUAAUUCACGUGUAACACGUAUAUUUCGGAUAAUAUUCGAUAUAUAAUUUGUAAUAAUACAAUAUUUAGUUUCACUAUAUACAAUAAUAUGUUUUGUUAUAAUAAUGUACAUAAAUAAUAAUUGCACAUGCUUUGAAGCCAUCAUUGCAACUACGCCUAGAGCUUUCAAGACGUCAGUUCGUAUUCAAUAAGUUGUCCACAUGCAAGUGCACCUACAGUUUUCAACACGUCAGAGGUAUUCAAUAAGUUGUCCACAUGCAACUGCACCUAGAGUUAUUAACACGUCAGAGGUAUUCAAUAAGUUGUCCAUAUGACGCCGCAUUGGGAAUCAGUAAUAUAUUUUCAAUCAUGUCCAAUCACAUAAAAUAAUGGCAUACUUUUUCUCAAUAACCUCACACAAGUGAAGCAAUUUUAAAACCCUUACUGAAUAUUUGUCCUAGUCUAUAUGAGUGAUUAUAUAAUCAGUCUGCAUUUUUUUCACAGUAUAUGUUAACUUUGAGAGGGAUUCCACAAACAUAAAAUAUAAAGAAAGCAAGAAAUAGUAGGAGAUGAACCAGUAGAAAAAACAAUAUAUAAAUGGUACAUAAUAAUUCCAUAACCUUGUCACAAACGCACUCACAAAAGCUUUUCCAUAAACCUUGUCCUAACAUAUAAUAAAUAAAGGCAACAUUGCAUAUGAUGCAACCAUGUCCAAAUCUGAUACGUGAUCAAAAACAAAUGGACAUGGCAGCAACAUAUGACUGAAGUAGAUGGGCUCUUUGCAUCUUGUGUUUUCGUAAUUAAAGACAUCAAAAUAUUAAGGUUUAAAUCUUCCAUAGUAGUUAGCAUCAAAAUAGCUUUGAAGCAGAGUGUAAAGAAAAUUCCAAUUCCACUGAUUUGCCUCUGCUCAAACACGAGAACCAAAAUGGUUACUUCCCUUGCUGAGUAUAUUUGGUGACGUCGGAAACGGUAAUAGAUGAUCAAUCAAACCCAGGUACGACGAGUUUUGCAUAGGAUCGGAAGUAGUCGAAUCCAGCUUGCAUCACACGCUUCUUUGACUCCACUGCAUUAGAUGAGUUCUUGUAUUUUUGAACAGCUACACUCCGAAGUCGUUUGUGUCUACGCUUCAUGCGCUGCAACUUCACCCUAUCCAGAUUGGCCUGCCUUUUGUCAUCUUCAAUUUGGCCUUCAACAAAUUCCAAACGUGCCCUUGCCCUUUGGAUUUCAUCACCAAGUUGAAGAUGCCUCUCCUUCCAAAAAGCAACAACUCUUUCAGACUCAAAACUUCCAACAAAAUGGUCAUUCUGUCUAGGAAUGUGACAUUGCUUGUCUGGUGACUCACUUGCGUGUCGAAGGCGGUCUUUGUUUGGAGGGGUGUUUAUUAUGCUCACAUCAAACUUGGUUAGUAAAUCCAUUCUUUGGGGGGAAUGAGUUUGUUUGCUUGAGAGAGUAUCAGUAGAUGGAGACAGAUUCGGUGGAGGAGUGAGUUUUGUGUGGAAGGAGAAUUUAUAUGAAAGGGGUGAUAGUAAUACCAAGAAAAGGGUUCCCGCCAAAAAAUAUUUGGUUGAGAAUGUAUAAAUUAAUUUUUGGUCUGAUACAAUCUAAGUUGAAUCCUAACUAGUUUGGUUGAGUUAACUAAGUAGAUGUCACUUCCAUUGAGUUUCUUUCAACCACUAUCAGUGGUGUCAGGAGAGUGUGAGGUUGACAUGCUUGAAAAGCAAAACCUGACACCUAUUUUUAAAAAAUUCCAUAAAAAAAGUACAUAUGUUGACUACACACAAGCUUUGGUAUGUUGGUCUAUAAACCUAUGUUCCCUUUCUCAAACGAAAUUGCAUAUGCAAUCCUCAUCCUCCCAAAACAAAGAGGAUUAUUCAAGCAUGUCAACCUCUUCAGGCGCCAACAACACAAUCGAAGAUGACAAAUUGGAGUCGCAGGUUCUAUUUCCACAUUGUACUCGCCGACCCCUUCCUUUUUCAACAUCAUUUGGGAGUGAGGGGGACUCCGAUGAUCCAUUAGAGGCAAUACAUGCAGUCAGUGGCAAGCUGGAUUAUAAUUCCAGACUGAUCAAUUCAUGGCACGAGAAAUGUGUUGAAGACGAGGCAAUUUUGGCUGAUCUUAACAUUAGAGUGAACAAAGCGUUCUCCCAAAAGAACAAGUACUUGAAGCUGAGUCAUAGCAGGAAGCUGAAAGCUGAGGAGUUGGAUACAGUAAUGAAUGAUGAAAUGAAAGGUUGUUUGCUGAACCACAUGCGAUGCGAAGAGCACCAUAGUGAACUGGAGUUGGCAUUCAACGAAGGAUUCGACAAAUUUCGAGCAUUUGCGGCAACUACUCAUACAAGUUAUGAUUGGAACUAUGUGUCCCCUGAUGCUGUGAGAGAGAUACUAGACGAUGGGGGUGACAUGAAUGAGCAUAAGCACGUCAAAGCUGCUCGGAAGAAGCCGACCGAUACGACUAAGUGAUUGCGGCUACCGCUGUUCAGUUGGUUGAGGGUGACCGUGGUAUUGCACAUAUACUCCCUUAAUGUCAUUAUCUAAUUUCAAAUAACACAAAUAUCAGUUUCAUUUGCUUCAUAUAUAAUUAUUGGGACUAUGUAUUGCAAGUCAUCAUGUGUUAUAAUGUCUAACAUUAUAUUUUGCAAAUAUGGAAAUAUUAUUCAAUAAGCAGUCAAUAUCACAGCAAGCCGGGAAUCAGUAAAUGCUCCUUAUCAUGUCCAUUUACAUUAAAGAGCUGGCGUACUAAUGUGUUCAAAAAAAACUGAGACGUGAGUCAUAAGUAACAUAACAUGUGCUAUACAUUGUUUACUGAAUGGUUUAUGGUUUAUUUUUAUAUAAUAAAAUUCCAAAUAUUGCUGAAGAUUUAUUUCGUCUAUAUGACUAGGGAUAUGAGUGGCCAUAAGCAUGUGAGACCUGCUAAGAAGAAGCUGACGAGUACGACCGAGUGAUUGUGGCUACCGUUGUUCAGUUGGUUGGGGAGAUCGUGGUAUUGCUAAGAGGGAGCACAUAAUAUGUUUUGCAAUCAAAUGUUCUUUUGUGUGUGGAAUUAUGAGUAUUUAUGUAAGUUAGUGUACCCUUUAAUAUUUUUCACCUAAGUAUCGAAAUGUAAUUAGCUGCAAUGUUAUGUUUCAUUUUUACACGCUGCUUUCUAUUUGCUCUGUUCCAACAAAGUGCUUCAAGUAUCCUUCAGUUACAAAAGUGUACAAAAUCGUGCCCCUAAUAACCAGUCGUCAAAAGUGGCUACUGCUGGAAAUGAUUACUGGUAAUGGAAACAACAGCUGGCUGCUGGAAAUGCUGCAUUAGCCUGAGGAUUUGAAAAAUGAAUCUCUGUUAAAACAUAAUUCACCCUAAACUGCCCAUUUUACAUGGUAAAGGUCAUUGCUUCUUCACAUAACUACAAAUUUCAUACUUGAUCAAAUGUCUAUGAAAAUUUAUAAAUAGGGAGAAGACGUAAAAUUAACAUGUCUCCAAAUUUCAUGGAAGAAUGAAACCAAGGAAAUUUUCAUUUCAAUUACCAGUGGACAUAGUAAGAGCUCAUCGGUGGACAUGAACAAAAACACAAUAAUAUUCAAAAACUGAAUCUAUAAAACUUCACCUGAUCAUUAAUCUUCAUAACAACCACAUUUCGUCUAAUACAAAUAUAAAUCAUUUAGUUGGUCCGUGCAUCCUGUCAAAAUCGUCGAAUAAUGGGUCACUACGAUGUAUUGGAGUUGAUUCGUCAUUGUUCGACGGUGAUGUCCUGCAUAAACAUCAAACACAAGCACAUAAAAAUUUUACCUUUUCAUAUUUUAGAUGUUAUUACAACUAGUGUUAGCAUCUUACGGUGUGUUCAAGGCUGGGCAUUGUCUUCUAUCAUGACCAAUGUGUCCACACUCCCGACAGUGUCUAAUCCCUCGCUUCAUUGCCUUUUCCUUUGCUCCCGUUACUCCUUUCGACCUUCCUUUGCACCUCACUCUCUUAGGGUCUUUCAUAUAUUGUGUUUGAGAGCUGGACCCUCCAACUUCGUUAUUACUUAGUCCAUCCUUCAGCAACUUUAACUUCACCUGCAAACUUUUUAGAGUCUCUGACAGUAGCUCACAUCCUUCUUCACUCAUUAAUGCAUCCUCAACCACAUCUGAAGCAAGUCGAGACAUUGUACUCCGCUUUAUUAGAAGGCCAGGAUCUGCACAGUCUUUAAUUUCGUUGCCAUUUGCAUCUGACACCAUUCCAGAUUUCGCAGUUUUCUUCCACCUCUUCAAAAUAUAUUUAUCGGGCAUAUAUUCAAUCUGGUCCCUUCUGAACAAUGCUAGGAUGUGCUUGCAAAUAAUUCCAACAAAUUCAAAUCUUUUGCAGCUACACGAUGCGUGGUCAGAAUCUUUGACAUAUACGACUUCUGCCACUCUUGUUUCCCAAUUUUUCCUUUCGCUCACGUUAAAGACAACUUUACAAGCAUCCUCUGUUUUGAGCUCUAGGAAACAUGCUGUACUUUGUAUUAGUUCUUGCUCAAACUUUUGAAACAUUGUCCUUGUGUACAAGGUAGCCAUUUGUUUGUUCAUUGGCAUCGGUAGAAGACAUUGAGCCACUUCAAAUGCAUCUACGUGAUCAGCAACUAACUCUUUUUCACGUUGAUGAGAAAGUGCCCUCUCAAAUCGUAUUAUGAAAUCCAUCAACGAAUUUCUCCUUGAUAUGUAUUGCUUGAAAAAACCAUGAGAACCUUCCGCUCUUUGGCUGCUUGACAUUCCAGCGGCAAAAAAUUGUCGUGCGUAGGCUGGAACCCAAGAUUCCCUUAAAUCAAACAUUGAACUUAGCCAUGGAUGGUCGGUCAAACCAGCCUUUGUAACCACAAUAUUCCAUUUUGCAUCAAACUCAUCCUUAUUGUCAGUAUCCCAUAUGGCUUUCUGAAAUUCACGCCAAUACUCCUUAUAAGCGUCACGUGGUAACUUAACAGAGAACUUUGAUGUGAUGUGCCAUAUGCAAAGUCGAUGAAAUGUACUCGGGAAGGCUAUUGAAAUCGCUAUGGCCAUUGCCGCAUCUUGAUCUGUAAUGAUCGUUUUAGGUUCCCCACCUGGCAUGGCUUUCUUAAACUCCUCAAACAUCCAAACAAACGACUCAGUCGUUUCCUUGCUCAAAAAUGCACAUGCUAAGACAAUUGUUUGACCAUGGUUAUUAACUCCCAACAUUGGUGCAAAUGUCAAGUCGUAUCGAUUCGUGUUGAAUGUGGUAUCGAAUACAACAACAUCUCCAUAAAACCCAUACGCCCGUCUAGAAGUUGCAUCUGCCCAAAAACAUCGACUAAACCUGUCAUGCCCAUCUCCCUCAAUCUUGAAAUAAAAAGCCUCAUUUUUUUUCUGUUCAGCCAUAAAAUACUCGGUCACUAGUUCAACAUCGUGGUUCCUCAGCUUCCCAUUCACACUACAUUCAAGAUUGUAGAUAUCUUUUUUGAUAAAACCGAUUUUAUCCAUUCCUCCGGAUUGCACCUUGAAAAUACUUACCUUAUGAUGAAUGGGAAUAUUAACUGAACCCAACUGUUUUGUGAGUACUUUGUAGAAUCUGAAAUAUGACGGUGUGAUCUCAAUAAAUGCAUUCUUUCUGAGGGUGUCAUCUUAUGAUUGUGUCCCUCUGCAAAAAGAGAUAUGGUAUACUUCUUGCUCCCAUUUGUCUUCACAACCACAAUCUUAGCUUUGCAAUUGCAUCUACUUAUUCCCCGUUGUCUUUUUCUCUCCCGAGUUUCAUCCUUCCUGUAUGCACCUUGUUUGCAACAUACAAAUUCUUUCCUCAAAAUCUCUUUCUUAUUUUUCCCCCAAAAGCUAGAAUGAAGUCGAAUACCAAAGCCAGCAAAGAAUGCAUAUCUAUUAUAGAAAUUGUAAACGAGGUCAAGCGAGUCAAACUUCAUCCCAACUGCUGGUGUUUCCUCAUUUCUUACUUCAGGAAUAUAAACCCUCCCAUUAGCUGUUGCACAUUCAUCACUCUCUGAGCCCCCAGACAUUUUAUCUACGUAUAUUAUUGAUCCACUUCUAUAUUACUGCAUAGCAAUUAUUCAUUCAUUAAUCAGUCAUUACUGCAUCACAACAUAUCAAUGCAUUCCACUUACACAAAACAUUGCCCAAAUUGACACAAAAUACGCAUAGCCUAACUUCCGAUUACACAAAACGCAAGCAAAAUUUCAUAAAAGUUACGUCAUCUCUUGUGAAAUAAUCUGGUCAAAAUAACAUUAGAACCAACAUGUUCAACUAAGAACACAAAUGUAAUUCAAACCACCAAUUACAGAACUUCACCCAAUAUCCUCUCCAACUGCUUACUCCUAAUGUCAUUAAGCCUAAGUUUAGGUUCUUUUACCUACAUUUCAUAAUUUUCCACCCCGACCAACAACAAUGAACUAAGAAUAUUGAAUAUUCAUAAGGAAAUGACACAUUAUUGAUGCCACAAAUGACGAAUUUCCCACCCUCACAAAAGAUAAACCUAACCCAAUAAAAUCAAUCCAGCAAGUGAACUUACCUCUCAAAAUCAAUCGGGAGCUCUGAAGUCAGUCAGCUUGAAAGAAUGUGGUGGACAUUACAGAAGACUCUUUGGUAUUUGAGACUCCAUCUCUACCAAAAUCGAGGAACAACUGCUGCUGCGGCUUCUAGCUACAAAAACAGAUAUGCUACUUUGCUUUCAUCUGGAAUCUUGUCAGCUGAAUGAAAAAGAGAAGGGGUUUUCACUUGAGCCAUAGAAUCAAAACAGGGCAACAGCUAGGUAAGAGCCAUUCUUCGUAAUACCCAGGAUACCAUAGAUCGCAGGCCUCCCAACGAGCUAAUGACAGUCGAGUGACUAUAAGGUUUGGGAGAUUUGGAUCCUUCUAAUUGUGGGUUUGCUUUACAUUCAAAAAGAAAGGAUUGUGUUCUUCAGUUUUUCACAGAGAGGGAAAGAGGGGAACAACUGAAGUUGGGUUUCUAACGGGUUAGAUUUCAACCCGAUUCUACAUGCACCCUCUUUUAAAAACUCACCGUUGGAUGAAAUCCAACGGCUCUUACAUGCCCCUCAAAAACACCCCUUAUAACUUCCCACUCACUAUAGAAGCUCCCCUGUUUGUGUUGUUGAAUUGGGUCUUUUAGUUGUUUUUGUAAACUCUGAUUUAAGUCUAGUUUGGUAUUGCUGUACUUUUAAAAAAAACUACUUCCGCUGUGCUGCUAGAAUACUCAGCUGUAAAAAAAAUUAGUUAUGCUUUUGGUAAACUAUAUUUGAAAAAGUGCUGUGAGUAAUCCAAAUGUUUGGUAAAUGACCAAAAAAAAGUGCUUUUAAUACGUACAAUGACUAAAAAGGACAUGAUGAUGGAACUAUUUGAUUUUUUCUUCAUUCUUUUUCUACUUAAAAAAAACUUCACUACAUAAUUUUUUUUUCUUUUUUUAUUUAUACUAUACACGUGUUCCUCUCUUCUCAAAAAAGUAAAUGCCUUUUGUUAUGUAUUGAAUGCUAACCCAACGACACCAAUUGGAAACCCAACACAGCCCAUCUCUCCACUUCAAUUUUUCUCUUUCUACCAUUUACAAGUUUUUUUUCUUCAUUCCUUCGUCUAACCAAAAAUAUCUCAUGUUUCCCCCAAUUAGUUUUAGUACUUUUGGGUAGGUGAGACUGAAAAGGGGAAAAAUUGUAUGUUGGGUUUAUGUUUUGGUGUUCUUGCAAUGGGAGAUAACAUAGUGGAGAAAGUAGCCAUGGUGAAAAUACAGAUUUCUGGGUUGCAGCCAUGGAGAUUUGAGCUGAUUUACAGUGCUGUAGUGGGGGUAGUUGAAGCCCCCCCAAAGUUGGGACUACUGCAACAGGAUCUUUCCACCCAAAACCAAAAACAAGAACAACAAACUCAGGUGGAACAUGAAACUCAUCACUCUCUCUCUUCCUUCGACUCGGGUUUUCUCUCUUCUUCCUCAAACCUGCGACAAAUAGAAAAACCCCCAAUUUAACAGAGAAAACUCUAGAUGCAGAAAGUUUGAGAAGUAGAAAACCAAAAAACCAUAAUUGUAAUUAAGUUAUUGAUGAAUGGGCAACCUUCUUAGCAAUUAAUUUUUUGAUGUCCACAAUGAGAGUUCCAGCAGCGUCAGAGAGUAGAGAAGGAAAUGAAGGAAAUAGAGUUCACAGAAUGGAGAAGAAAAAAGGGGCAAAAGACCGUCAAUUUGUAAAAUAAGUGAGGGUAUUACGGGAAAGUUAAAAGUUCAUUAAAACAACCGGUUAAAUUUUUUUUGAAGCAGCUUUUAAAAGCUUGGUAGAGACGGCUUCGAAAAAACAGCGAUCAUUGACUGCGAUUUUAAAAAAAAGCAGGAUUCCUGAUGUUUUCCAAACACCCAACUCAUGAAAUUUUUUUAUUAAAGCUGCUUUUUAAGAAAAUUAAACGCUGCCAAACACCACCUUAACCAUUUUCUUUGCGUGUGCCAAAUUUAUAAUUUUGACCAGUGUCAUGCAGGAAAAUGUUUCAUGCUUUGUUAACAGGGGGCUUUCGAUGAGUAUUUUAUUUAGAUGAAAAGUGAUUCAUUCCUUUCCUUUAUGGAUUCAUCUUGUUAGGUUGAUCUAUUGAAGAAUGAGCUUGGAUUUGAUGAGGCUUUUAACUAUAAAGAAGAGGCUGACUUGAAUGCGGCUUUCAAAAGGUGCAUAUGAGUAAUGAUAGAGAGAUUACAUUUAUAAACCCUAGCGGACCAUGAAUAUAAUGAGUCUUAAAUCUAUUAGACAAUUGGUUAGUUGACAGGUGGUAUACAAAGCAGUCUACAAAUGUGAUCUCCCUAUCAUUUUCCGUAAAAUACAUAUUUAUUAUGUUAUACUAGUUUCCUUUAGUAAGAAAAGAAAGGAAAAAAACUAUUAUUAAGAAUUUGUGUGUUGUUAGGGUUCAUCAUUGGGCUGGGCCAACUCAAAAAUUUUGGGUUCGAGCCGAGCCCUCAUGGGCCGAAAUGGGCCAGACUUUUUGUUAAAAAGUCUUUUCAAUCUUUUUGUUACACAUUUCGUUUUUUCAAAAGUGAUGGAUAUAGAGUAUUCUCUUAAACAAUAGUAUAGAUUACUACAUAAUUUAAGAAAACAAAAAUAUAAUAGCCAAACUUUUUUACUAAACCUAGACCAAUAACCAAUAUAUUUAAAAAAUAUUAUACCUAAAAAUGAAUCUUAUGAUGUGCAAUUUGUGCCUUAAUUAACUUAUAUCCCAAAUUAGGAUUGACAUCAUGAAAAUUAAAGCAAUUUGUGCCUUUAAAAUUAAUAAACCCAGAAUAAGCUUUCAAAUUCUUUAUUGAACCGUUAAAUUUGAACUUGACAAAAAAGGGGCACUAAGAGAUAUAGUGCAUAUAUUGCUUGUUUGUUACAAAAUUUUAGACAACAUUGAAAAAAUUAACUUAAUUUAUAACAUGUGUAAACAAAAUAAAAAGUUUAUUAGUUUAUCAUACAUAUUACAUUAUUUUGAUUAAGUAUAAAAUGAGGUUAGGGAAUGCAUCAAUUAAUCUUAAAAAAAUGAAAAGCAUAAGCGGGCGGGCCGAGCGGGCCUAACCAUCUUGCUAGGCUGGACUUUGACCCAUCAAGCCUCGGACUACCCACUUCGGAGCCGCGGGCCAAAUGAUGAUCCCUAUAUGUUGUAUAUGAUGCUUUGAAGCUUGAGCUUUCUUGAGUGAAGGAUAAAUUUUCUUUGUAAUUACCAUACACUUGCCAGGUAUUUCCCUGAAGGCAUUGAUAUUUACUUUGAGAAUGUUGGAGGCAAAACGCUAGACGCAGUGCUCCUCAACAUGAGAGUCCAUGGCCGCAUUGCUGUAUGUGGAAUGAUCUCACAGUACAAUCUUGAUCAAGCAGAAGGGGUAACAAAUUUGAUGCACCUUGUGUAAAAACGUAUCCGCCUCCAUGGAUUUUCGGUAAGAGAUCACUAUCACAUCCAUCCGAAAUUCGUGGAGUUUAUGCUGCCUUACAUUAGGCAAGGAAAGAUUGUUUAUGUGGAAGACAUAGUUGAAGGCCUUGAGAGUGGUCCAAGAGCGCUGGUUGGACUUUUUAAGGGUCUUAACUUUGGAAAACAAGUAGUUGACGUCUCUGCAUGAAUAAGUUGUUUUGUCAAUCGAUUUGGUGUGCUUGUGUUUCUAACCACUAUAACUUUGUUAAGUGGCUCUUUGGUUUUAUUUUUAUGUUUUUGGAUCCUUUUUGGGAUUGCAUAUGUUAAGUGGUGCACUUUGUCAUACAGAAGAUAUUCAUCAAUAAUAAGGGCUAAUUCAGGAUUGUUGUCACUUUUAAAAAAAGAUGCUUCUGUUGUGUUUUGGAAAUAAUAAGCUGUAAAGUAGUUCCAUGCGUGUUAAACAAUAUUUUUAAAGUGUUGUUAGUAUAAAAAGUUAUGUCAAAACCGUUUGGUAAAUUUUGAUAUAAAACUAGUAACUGUUGAUAAUGACUAAAACAUACAUGAUAUGUCGAAAGUGUUACGUGGUAACCAUAUGGUGGUGGUGGCGGUGGUGGUAUAGGUGGAGGUUGAGUUGGUGGUGGUGGUGGAGGUGGAGGUGGUGGUGAGGCGUGCUACGGGCACCAACUUAAAUACUAAUUUAAUGAUACCAACCUAUGUGGCAUAUGACAUGACAAUUUAUGUCAUAUGCCACAUCAUUUUUUUUAUUAGUUAAGUUUUAACAAUUUUUUGUCAGAAUUAACUUAAUUAUUUAGUUUUAAAUAAAUAAAUUCUGCUCCACGCCUCCCUUCCUUCUCGGAUCUACUACCAUGGCCUCCUUCCUCCCCAACUUGUAUGCCCUUAUUAUUACGCACAUUGAAUUUGGCUUUCGGGGUGUGACAUAUUUUUACCAAUCCCAUGAAGCUUUUCUUAUCUUUGAAUGCUUGAGUGCUAACCAUUGUGUGUUUCCCUUGCUUUAGGAAGAUUGCCUCACUCAGCAAGAAUGCAUGGUGAGGUGUUUGUGAAUGGUGCAAAAUCGGUACAUGUACAUGGCCACGACACCGAUAUAUAAAUGAGAAGAGAAUUCCUUGGUCAGUAUCAAUAUUGCGAAACUGUUGCAGCAUUGAAGGGUUGUGUGAACUCCUCGAUUUCAAGCGAAGUCGAAUAUUGCUUGAUGUGGAAGAUGGCUCAAACUAAUAAAAAUGAGGAAAACGGAUCAUACCAACAAAAAUAUGGCAGAUGGCCAGAAUCAAUAUAACCGUGGUCAGAUUUGGGAAGUGAGGCCAUGGCAGAUUCGGAGAGGGAGGGAGGCCAUGGCAGAUCUAUAAAGGAAUGGAGAAACAGAUCACACCUCUUCCCUUCUCCUCAUACCACAACUCAUCAUACACACCCAAUCGAUUUUGAAAUAUUACAUAAAAGUUGUGAUGGCGCUGGAACUGCAGAUUCAGAACGUUUUUUAUAUGCUUCCCACAAGCAGUCAGACAAACCCUUAGAGGACGAGUGACAUCAUUACCUUCUCAACUUACCAAAGAAAGAACUCCUUCCGAAGUGGUAACCACUUGCCGAUGCUCCCAACUACAGAACCAAGUUUCCAUGGACACGUGUCACCUCCACAAUAGUUUGCACAAAGUCCGACAUUGAAACUUUGUGCAAAACUCCCAUUUUCAGGGAACAGUACCUAAGGAAAAGGGGUAACUACUUUUCACAUUUACUGUUACUCUGCCAAAAUUACCACAUAUACUCGCUGACUUAAGUAUUGGAGAGUCUUCGGCAGGUACCACACCAGUGUCCGAAGCUUGACGAUCCCUUCUUCCUUGUUUUCUUAUGCAAGAUCCCUCCAUACCGAAGGUCCACAACCUUCUCCCUUGCUGAAGAUUUAACACUCCUUUAUCUAAGUUAACCCUCCGAAAAAGAGCAUCAACACGCGCAGCACUCAUUAUCUUUCAACAAUCUGAUUAUCUUAUACUAGUUAAUUUAUGGGUUGUUUGAUAACAAUUUCAAUUUUAAUUUUUAGUUUUCAUUUUCAUUUUUUUUGAAAACUGAAAACAUGUUUGGUAUUAGAUUUCGUUUUCAAAUUAAAAAAAAAGUGAAAUCUAGUUUUCAAAAUCACCUUUUUUUUAAAAAACAACUUGGAAGUGUUUUAUGUUUUUUUUUUAUGUUUUUUUUUUUUUUUUUUUUUUUUUUGUGCACUAUUGUUUGUUGGAGUGUUAGUUGACUUUCUUUGCACACCAAGGUUUCCCAUAUUAACUCAUGCAUAGAUUGGAAUUGAUUUCCUACUCUAAAUAGUAUUAGAAGUUAUUAAUUACCUUACUUAGCCUUCAAGGAAUAUUGUAUUAUAAAUAUGGCCUUCUACAAGGAGAAGAAUACACAGAAAAUUCUCACCACAAUUACUCUUUCGUAAUUUUAGCAUUAUUUCAUUCAUAAGUUUCACAUCACCACACAUGAAAUGCACUCCGGUUACCAAAAGUCGGUAUUUGGGACCUCCCAACUUGGACUUGGUCGCUCAAUUCGUGCUUUUGGCCACAAUCCCAAUCCAAACCUCGUCAACUCCAUGUCCAAAGGUCACUAAAAAAUAAUCAUAAUUUUAAAAAAUUCACCAAAAAAUAUUACGAAUUUUUUGUCAUUCCUGCUUUAACUUUACCUUUUGUUUUCAAAUGUUGACCCGUCCCAACCCAACUCUCAAUGCUCGAAGGGUUCUUUCGUGUAGUUAAGAGUUGGGUUUUCCAAGGUAGGUCUAUAUUGAUUCGAACAACUUUGCGGUAUAUCUGUGGGUAAGAUACUGUUCUCAAAGUAGUAAAGGCUGAACUAAAAGGCUAAAUGGGAAAAUGAAUACUUUCUUUUCUCUUCCUCAAGAAACAUACAUCCUCACCACAAGAGAGGGAGAGUUGCUUGGUAUUUUGUUAAAUAAAAUAAAAUAAUUAAUAAUUGAAAAUAGAAAAUGUUUGAAAAGGAUAUUGGGAAUAAAGAGAGAAGAUGCGGGUGUGAGUAAAAUAACAAUAAAAGAAAAUUAAAUCAAAAAUAAAAAAAUAAAAAAAUAAUUAAGUUUUGGGGAGUAGAAAUCGGGAUGGAGGGGGGAGAGAGAGGUUUUUUUUUAAAAAUUUUUUAUUCGUAUUUUAAUCAAUUUUGAUAUUGUUGAGGCCCAAAAAAGUUACGGGAAGCCCAAAGACAUUUAAAGCCCAAUAUAACAUAUAUUCUCAGUCAUGCGUUAAUCCAAGCUGUAAUUCGGAUUUAAUUCAUUAAAUAAAUAUAAAAUAGUGUACAUGUCAUGCUAAACUAAUAAUACAUUUUCCCCAUGCUAAUCACCUAUCAAGCUCACAUGAACCCAAGUCAUGUGAUUUACGGGCUUGCAUGAGGGAUUGUGGUGUGGAAGGUUACGGAGGUCCACAAGGCCCACGGAAGCUCUUGGAUAACAGAGACUUUGGGCUAGCUACUUGAGAGCACCAAAGUCCAAGCCCAUUACUUAGAGUUCUCCAAUGUGGGUGAGCAAAUGAGACAUUUUUCAAGCACUGCCUUUUACCUAUAGGAAAUAGUCAUUUUCCAAAUACCAAGCUUUACCCGUUGGAAACAAGCAUUUUCCAGCACUUCCUAUUACCCAUUGGAAACAAGCAGUUUCCAGUGCUUCCUUUUACCAAUAGGAAAAAAUCUGUUUAUGAUACCUAGCUUUACCUAUUGGAAAAUAGCAUGUCCUAGUCCUCCCUUUUAACCAUUAGAAAUAGGUUGGUUCCAAUACCUCCCUUUACCUAUUGGAAAUAAAGGAAAACCCUCACCCUCUAUAAAUUGGCACUCAUGGCUCAAGCAAAAGGCACCAAUUUUUCUUCAGCCAAUACUUCCUCACUCGGCUACUGCAAGCAUCCCAGCAGCCACCAACCCCCAUAAAGCAUCACCUAGCUCCAAGCUUUUCCUUCCUUCCAAGCUUUAAACACCAUAGCCUUUAAACCUCAAGCUUUUCCUUCCAUCCUCCUUCUCUUGAAACUCUUAAAUCCCCAUAGCCAUAGCCACACACAACAAAUUAUCAACACCAAACUCAAACAUAUCCAACACCAAGCCAAGCACAUGCAUUCUCAUUUGCUAAACUUGUGGGUCUUUAGCUCCUACACUCCAAGCUCUCAUGCUAAGCUCACAUAAUCUCAUACCAACAUCAGCAAGUCAUCUUCAACUCUUCGUCGAGCUGCCGAAAACAUCAACACAAAACAUGCAGCCGUUGGAAGAAGAACAAAGUACUCUCCCGGGACUUGCUUUUCCCUUGGGACACUUUGGGCCUAGUUCUCGCUAACUCAGAUAAAGGAACAACGAAGUCUUCAUUCAUCACUCUAUGGCGACCCAAGAAUCAACAAAGCCCGGAUGAGCCUUCGAACGAAAGUGACCACAUGCAAAGCUCAAGCUUCAAUAGCCAAGCCCAAGCUUUUGGUUCCUAAAAACAUGCUUACGACAGCUGCAACAAACAAUACCUAAGUCACCAUAAGUGAUAUGCCCCAGCGUCUCAAGCACUUUCUAUGCCCUGACAAUUCUAAUGAUCAAGUUUUAGAGUCAAACCAAAAGGCCAUUGGGAUGUCUCAAUUGCCACAAUUCCAUAAUCAAUCAUCAUCAAGCCUCAAGCCUUAUUCAAGAAAUCCAAGCACUAUUCUUUACUCAAGAAGGAAAACAUCUCAGUUCGUGGCAAAUAGAAGGAAAAUACUACGAAGGUACCGGAAGAACCUAAACACUGUCAAGAUGAAGUUUCCUUUACCAAGCAAUCAAAAUUUUUGAAGUGAUGUCAAGCUAUCAAGAAAAAGAGUAAAGUCACUAUGCAACACAACAACCAAAAUAUGCUUGUAGUAACCAAGAUUCAAGCCAAGCAAAAUGUGGAAGAUAAUGAUGCGUUGUAUGAAAUGCUCCUGGAAGAUAACACAAGCCCUAUAGUCAUGCUGCCGGAAGAGUGAACCAUCAUGCCACUAAAUUUGAAAGAGGAGCCCCAUAUCUGAGUACUGGAAGGCAGCGCAGUGGACUCCAAAACUAAGAUCUAGUCCAAGUGACUUAAGGCCUCCAUAUUGCAAUGCUUAUUUGCCAACACCUAUACCGCUUUCAAGCUACUGCAGACACUAUCAUGCUCAAAUCCUUAAGCAUCUCCCAUUGUAUUUUCAUCUUCUAAUCUACCAAAGCCCUCAUGAUUGACCAAGCUAUAUCUUGAUUCAACUCCACCCACUUGCUCUUUACAGCAGCCCAGGCCCAUCUGUAGCUGCCGGAACAAAAAAGCCCCAACGUAAAUGACAAAACCGAAACACUAAAGCACAUCCACCAUGCUAAAUAGCCCAAAAGCUAUAUUAAACCACGACACUUUAGCCAAUACCAAGCGUACAAGCCAAUGCCCAGCAUCCAAGCAUACAAGCCAAAGCUUAGCGUACAAGCCAAUACUAAGCAUACAUGCCAAUGCCAAGCAUACACACCAAUGCCAAGCAUCCAAGCCAAUACCAAGCGUACAAGACAAAGCCAAGCAUACAAGUCAAUACCAAGCAUACAUGCCAAUGCUACGCGUAUACGCCAAUGCCAAGCAUCUAAGCCAAUACCAAGCAUACAAGCCAAAGCCAAGCGUACAAGCCAAUACCAAGCAUAUAUGAGCCCAAGAUCAAGCGUACAUGCCAAUGCCAAGCAUCCAAAUCAAAUACUAAGAAUACAUGUCAACAUCAAGCAUACAUGCCAACACCAAAUAUACACGUAAAAACCAAGGAAGCAAGCACGGAUGUUUCAUGCAUAUUGAAGAACCAGCCAUGUCAUGCCACUGCCAAUUAUUUUGGGCUGAAAUAGAUUAUUGGGCCCAUCUCACUGCCACUUCAUAGCCCCAAUAAUCAAGGGGGCUAAUGUUGAGGCCCAAAAAAGUUACGGGAAGCUCAAAGACAUUCAAAGCCUAAUAUAACCUAUAAUGUCACUCAUGCGUUAAUCCAAGCUGUAAUUUGGAUUUAAUUCAUUAAAUAAAUAUAGAAAUAGUGUACAUGCCAUACCAAAAUAAUAAUACAUUUUUUCCAUGCCAAUCACCUAUCAAGCUCACAUGAACCCAAGUCAUGUGGUUUAUGGGGCUUGCAAGAGGGAUUGUGGUGUGGAAGGUUACGGAGGUCCACAAGGUUCAUGGAAGCUCUUGAAUAAUGGAGACUUUGGGCUAGCUACUUGGGAGCACCAAAGUCCAAGCCCAUUACUUAGAGUUCUCUAAUGUGGGUGAGCAAAUGAGACAUUUUUUAAGCACUUCCUUUUAUCCAUAGGAAAUAGUCAUUUUCCAAAUAUCUAGCUUUACCCGUUGGAAACAAGCCUUUUCCAGCACUUCCUAUUACCCACUGGAAAUAAGCAGUUUCUAUUACUUCCUUUUACCAAUAGGAAAUAAUCUGUUUAUGGUACUAGCUUUACCUGCUGGAAAAUAGUAUGCCCUAGUGCUCCCUUUUAACCAUUAGAAAUAGGUUGGUUCCAGUACCUCCCUUUACCUAUUGGAAAUAAAGGAAAACCCUCACUCUCUAUAAAUUGGCACUCAUGGCUCAAGUAAAAGGCACCAAUUUUUCUUCAGCCAACACUCCCUAACUCAGCUGCUGCAAGCAUCCCAGCAGCCACCAACCCCCAUAAAGCAUCACCUAGCUCCAAGCUUUUCCUUCCUUCCAAGCUUUAAACACCAUAGCCUUCAAACCUCAAGCUUUUCCUUCCAUCAUCUUUCUCUUGAAACUCUUAAAUCCCCAUAGCCAUAGCCACACACAACAAAUUAUCAACACCAAACUCAAACAUAUCCAACACCAAGCCAAGCACAUGCAUUCUCAUUUGCUAAACUUGUGGGUCUUUAGCUCCCACACUCCAAGCUCUCAUGCCAAGCUCAUAUAAUCUCAUACCAACAUCAGCAAGUCAUCUUCAACUCUUCGUCGAGCUGCCGAAAACAUCAACGCAAAACACGCAGCCGAUGGAAGAAGAACAAAGUACUCUCCCGAGACUUGCUUCUCCCUCGGGAUACUUUGGGCCUAGUUCUCGCUAACUCAGACAAAGGGGCAACGAAGUCUUCAUUCAUCACUCUAUGGCGAUCCAAGAAUCAACAAAGCCCGGAUGAGCCUUCGGACGAAAAAGACCCCAACAGAUAUAAAAAUACCAUUUUUCCCCUGCAGUUAACAGAAAAGUUAACAGCCGGACCAUUUGUCCUAACGAAACUGAAGUUGAAGAACUACGGGAACCAUUUUGAAAAUUGAGGUACUCAAAUACAAAUCGGGUCUAAGUUCAGGGAUUAAUAAAACAAUUAACCCCUGAGUUUAUAAUGCUCGAGAGUAUAUAGGAAGAGGACACUCCAACUGGCAGCUAUGGAGGAGGCCAAGACUAGUAGUGUCUAUUCUGUGAAAGCUAACUUUGCUUUCUUAUUAUCCACAACUUAGAUAUAUCAAUGGCUUCUUGCAAGAACCUCAAUUCUUUAUGAACUUUCUGCCCUAAAAUGCUUUAUCUAAUAGCUCAGACAAUGGUGAAAGAAAAAAAAUUGUUGUUGGAAUCUUAGCAUAAUAAUAUUUUCCAGCCAAAAUCAGUUGUUAGAUUCUCCAACAGCACAAUCUCUUUUCGCAAUCACAUACUAGUCAAUCCUACAGAGCAUAAGAUCCUACUUUGAGGGGUGGAAAGGAAUGAAUUCAACUCACCACUAUUAUGACCAAGGCAAUAAUUUUCAUUUCCAUCACAUGAUUCUAGGUGACCCACAACUCCAUACCACCAACCUGCAAUAUAUACAGAAAAUCCUAUCAAGCAAUGGACAAUGGGAAAUUAAUUAAUUUCACCUUUUAUUUAAGUUUCUGCAUAUUAAACGAAUCUACUUUCAUUAUAUAUUUAAGGGAAAUGUAAGCCUUUUUUUUCGUUCUUUACCCUUUUUUUUCCUCACCUUAAUGGGGCUUGAGGAUGUUUGAAUUGUUCGCUAGAACUACUUUCAUUAUCUAUUUGAGGCAUACUUCAUGAACCACAUGGAUUCUAGGAAGUGAUAUAGACCUUUGUUUCUUUCAUUUGAGCCCUUCUAGCCAACCCGUAUCACUUUUAUCCCUUGUUAAUCACCUUGUGCCUUUUAUGUAAGCCUUUUUUUUCGUUCUUUACCCUUUUUUCCUCACCUUAAUCUAUCAUAUGUUACCCUUCUAAGGAGUUUUGUACAGUAUUUUCGUUGUUAAGGGAGAAUUGCACAACAAUCAUGUGGAAAGUAAAGGAUACUAUUUCCAAAAAAAAAACCUAAUUUCAAACCCUUUUCAACUCGAGUUAUUGAGCCCUAUGAGUGUUUUACAUUUAAUUUCGUAAAGCUAUGUAGCUUGGGAGUCAUUGGCCUAACACUCGCUGCAUGGGUUGAUUAGAAAGCUAAUGAAGAGUUAGAAAAAAAAAUUGUGAAAAAUAAAUAAAUUUCAAGACAGUAUCAAUAUGAAGUUGCGUGCUCAAAGUGCAAGAUGUUAUAAUUUUCAUGGAAAGCUCUAUGAAUUCCUUAGAAUUUGUUCAUCCAUAUCUUUUUCUUGUUUCACCCGUCACUCUAAGCCCCAUUACAACCUUAUUUGAAGACUAUUCUGCUAUUUUCUCAAGGCGUGCAAUAUAUGACUGGAAAGAUAAGAUAAAGACCUACAAUUUACAUAUUUUUUCAGAAUUUUCUCGGAGGAGGAAUGAUUCCAAACGUGGGUGCAAAGUAACUAACGUGUUAUCCUAGUCCAAGUAGGAAGAUGAGUCAAUUACUUACCCAUUUUGGAUUUAAGUUUUAAUUAGCUGUUUCUUUAUUUUUGGGCUGUUGUAAAAGGCCAGCUAAGGUAGGAAUAGACGUGUGGCAUUUUAUUUAAGCAUGAGACAACUCCUUUGGGAAGACGCAAAGACUAGGAGAAAUUGGAGACGCCGGAAGAGUACCACAAUUGGCUAAGUUUUAUUGUUUCUUCCUUAUGUUUUUGUUUAUGUCAAAUUCUAUGAUUAUGUGUAACUAAUUUUAUUUUGCUAGGGCAUGAUGUAUGCCUAGUAUGAUAAUCUAGUUUUCUUAUUUUACCUAUCUAUUGAUUGCAGUUUGAUGUUAGAUUCUUAAUCACUGUGCUUAGUACCUUAGUUGAUUACCUUGAUGCUUGAUCACCAUCUAGACUUUUAAUUGAGUUAAUCGGAUGCGAAUUAGAGUAAAUACCAUACUUAAUUUGAGGUUUGCUUCUUGUGAUUAGAAUUUGUAAUUUGUCUAAAGUAAAUACCAUACUCCUAGAAUUUACAUGCUUGUUGGAGGUUUUCACUGAUUUCAAUAUUUUCCCGACAUGUGAUGCCAACAACAUAGAUGUUUCAAUGUUUCACUAUGGAAGCAAUCACGUAAGGAUUAACAUGGCAGGACAUCAGACAUGAGAAACUAAGAAGAGAGAGAGAGAGAGAGAGAGAGACUUGCCAUUCAAGCAAGAGAAGGCCAUAACACUAUAUAGCAAUAGCACCGUAAAAUAAGAUGCAAAGAAUGAGGGGGUCAUGUUUUCAAGUACCAAAACACGCAAGGGCAUUUUGGUAAAGUACAUCUGAAAAUAAAUCAAGGCAAGCAAAGCCGUAGAUAUCCUCUUCCUGCUACACAUAGUAUUAGCCUACGUAAGGUCAUUACGGCGCCGUUUCCCUUUUUAAUUGGCGUAGUUCAACUCAUCAUCCACCCAAGUUCAUUUCGUUCAAAGCUAUAAAUAACCCCUCAAACCAUUCAACUUUCCCACCACCACUCCUCACUCCUUCAACUCAUUAACCUCUCUCUCUCUCUCUCUCUCUCUCUCUCUCUCUCUCAUCCGCAAAUGGCGAACCGUAGAAGCCUCUUUUCUCUCUCACUUAUCUUUGUGUUCAUGAUCAACUCAGCCAUAGCCACUCCAGUCACAUACAAUGUGGCCAGUUUAGGAGCCAAAGCAGAUGGCAAGACUGACUCCACAAAAGCCUUCCUCUCUGCAUGGGCUAAAGCUUGUGC
RNAcentral lists this long non-coding RNA (34831 nucleotides) under Prunus persica (peach). RNAcentral describes it as "long non-coding RNA (PPER_LNC004544)". Lineage: Eukaryota; Viridiplantae; Streptophyta; Magnoliopsida; Rosales; Rosaceae. The record is from RNAcentral.